GAGAGAGGCUCGCAGCAACGAAAACUGCUAAUUUUCGCCACCUUGAUUGGACUUCAAGGCUCACUCG
RNAcentral lists this transfer RNA (67 nucleotides) under Girella leonina. RNAcentral describes it as "tRNA-Ser". Lineage: Eukaryota; Metazoa; Chordata; Actinopteri; Centrarchiformes; Girellidae. RNAcentral also lists the same sequence under 2 other names. The record is from RNAcentral.